This 253-nucleotide ribosomal RNA is filed under the name uncultured bacterium. RNAcentral describes it as "partial 16S ribosomal RNA". It matches the Rfam family "Bacterial small subunit ribosomal RNA", at positions 524 to 776 of the family's 1533-position model. The record is from RNAcentral.
UACGUAGGGUGCAAGCGUUGUCCGGAAUUAUUGGGCGUAAAGAGCUCGUAGGCGGUUUGUCGCGUCGAAUGUGAAAACCCGGGGCUCAACCCCGGGCCUGCAUUCGAUACUGGCAGACUAGAGUUCGGUAGGGGAGUCUGGAAUUCCUGGUGUAGCGGUGAAAUGCGCAGAUAUCAGGAGGAACACCGGUGGCGAAGGCGGGACUCUGGGCCGAUACUGACGCUGAGGAGCGAAAGCGUGGGGAGCGAACAGG